UUUUACAUAUUCUCUAUUCAAGAAAUAUUAAUCUUGUAAUAGUUAUAUAAUAAAACUAACACUUUCAUCAAAAACAUUAAAAACACUAAAAAGUAAUAUAUUCUAAAAUUUAUUUUGGCUUAAGCUAAUCAUUAUAACCUGUUUUAAUUAACUAGCGAUAUUUUAUAAAAAUUUAAUGUCUACAUAAAAUAAAUUUAACAAAAAAAUCAAUAGUUUUAAUAAUAAAAAAAGGGAAAACUAUCUUUUGUCCUAAGCAAGAGUAACUAAGAAAACAUAUUUUUUGUUACAUGUGCGUCGAAAGUGAUUCUUUUCGCUCUCUAACGACCAUAAAGUCACCGUUUACCUACAACCCAGUUAUUCCAUGCAGUAAAUCAUUAUUUCACUGUUUUCGUGCCUCCAAUAGAUGGUAUGACAAAAGUAUUCCUCCCACUAACUUUACAGCACGAUCACCUAAUUUAACGGCUAAACGGUCACGGUCAGCUAACUUUACAUCUAGUUAUAUUAUUUACUCUCAUACGCGCCACGUCGCGAUACGUAUACUGUAAUUUUUGCAGGAUUAACGAUGCUUUCACGAACCUAAUCUUGGCUAACCUAUCAAUUUACACUCAAGGACUGCAUUUCGACAUACAAGCAACAAAAAAUAUUGUGUAUAACAUGUGCGGAUUAGUUAUUUCCUGAAAUGUUCGAUCGAAGUGCAAUCCAUUUUGCCGUCACAUAGUCUAGUUCCAUCUCUAAUUCGAUAUCGAGUGACAACGUGUAGGAAAGUCGACAAGACGAAUAGUGUGUCUUCUCGCCAAGCCUUUCUAAUAGGACACAUCAAUAUCGAUGUUAAACACGGAGAGAAAUAAACUGUGCUAAACAAUUUAAGAAUAUUCUGCUGGUAAAAUCGAUUGAAAGAGAACUCGAACACGAACGCAAUUUCAUCGGACGCGACAACAACGUUUCUCCUUGAAAUCAUCGCCCGAGGUUCAAUCGUUUGUCAAUCGAUCUCUGUAAAUAAGUAAUGUAGAGUUGCCGAAAAUAUUCACAAUUAACUAUAAAUUUUAUAUACACUAUCAACAAAAUUUGUUACAAUUAUUAGAGAUAUAUAUUUUUAUGAUCUUGUUUGGAGUGUUAAUUAUGUUAAUCUAUAUUUAAACUAAUAAAAAUGUAUUUUAGCAAGUAGAUCUGUUAUUACAUAACUUUAUUUUUAUAUCAAAUUUUUUUUUAAUAUAAUAUUUAUUAAAAUCGUGAUCAACAUAAAAUCAAAUGGUUCUGAUUAAAUCGUCAGAUACUUAAAAACUAAAAACACAGCGAACAUUUAGCUUUAAUAAUUUUGCUCAUUAUUUAUCUCUAUAUAAAUAACAAAUUUCUCAAAAACUCAAACUUUUAAAGAAAAUUUUAAGUAAAUUUUUAAGACAUAUAUAAGCAAUGUCAUUUUUAGACAAAAGAACUGACAAUCACUUUCUAUUUUUCUAAUUUGCUUAAUAAAUUUUCGAUUUUAUUAAAUACGCACUAUU
Monomorium pharaonis (pharaoh ant) is the source of this 1499-nucleotide long non-coding RNA. RefSeq lists it as uncharacterized. The record is from RefSeq and is a predicted model, not a curated record. The transcript has 3 exons. Lineage: Eukaryota; Metazoa; Arthropoda; Insecta; Hymenoptera; Formicidae.